RNAcentral lists this ribosomal RNA (1115 nucleotides) under Vibrio sp. 7513M. RNAcentral's name for it is "bacterial SSU rRNA". It matches the Rfam family "Bacterial small subunit ribosomal RNA", at positions 378 to 1488 of the family's 1533-position model. The record is from RNAcentral. Lineage: Bacteria; Pseudomonadati; Pseudomonadota; Gammaproteobacteria; Vibrionales; Vibrionaceae.
CGCAGCCGAUGCGCCAUGCCGCGUGUGUGAAGAAGGCCUUCGGGUUGUAAAGCACUUUCAGUCGUGAGGAAGGUGGUGGUGUUAAUAGCUGUAUCAUUUGACGUUAGCGACAGAAGAAGCACCGGCUAACUCCGUGCCAGCAGCCGCGGUAAUACGGAGGGUGCGAGCGUUAAUCGGAAUUACUGGGCGUAAAGCGCAUGCAGGUGGUUUGUUAAGUCAGAUGUGAAAGCCCGGGGCUCAACCUCGGAAUAGCAUUUGAAACUGGCAGACUAGAGUACUGUAGAGGGGGGUAGAAUUUCAGGUGUAGCGGUGAAAUGCGUAGAGAUCUGAAGGAAUACCGGUGGCGAAGGCGGCCCCCUGGACAGAUACUGACACUCAGAUGCGAAAGCGUGGGGAGCAAACAGGAUUAGAUACCCUGGUAGUCCACGCCGUAAACGAUGUCUACUUGGAGGUUGUGGCCUUGAGCCGUGGCUUUCGGAGCUAACGCGUUAAGUAGACCGCCUGGGGAGUACGGUCGCAAGAUUAAAACUCAAAUGAAUUGACGGGGGCCCGCACAAGCGGUGGAGCAUGUGGUUUAAUUCGAUGCAACGCGAAGAACCUUACCUACUCUUGACAUCCAGAGAACUUUCCAGAGAUGGAUUGGUGCCUUCGGGAACUCUGAGACAGGUGCUGCAUGGCUGUCGUCAGCUCGUGUUGUGAAAUGUUGGGUUAAGUCCCGCAACGAGCGCAACCCUUAUCCUUGUUUGCCAGCGAGUAAUGUCGGGAACUCCAGGGAGACUGCCGGUGAUAAACCGGAGGAAGGUGGGGACGACGUCAAGUCAUCAUGGCCCUUACGAGUAGGGCUACACACGUGCUACAAUGGCGCAUACAGAGGGCAGCAAGCUAGCGAUAGUGAGCGAAUCCCAAAAAGUGCGUCGUAGUCCGGAUUGGAGUCUGCAACUCGACUCCAUGAAGUCGGAAUCGCUAGUAAUCGUGGAUCAGAAUGCCACGGUGAAUACGUUCCCGGGCCUUGUACACACCGCCCGUCACACCAUGGGGAGUGGGCUGCAAAAGAAGUAGGUAGUUUAACCUUCGGGAGGACGCUUACCACUUUGUGGUUCAUGACUGGGUGAUCG